AUCAACUUUCGAUGGUAGGAUAGAGGCCUACCAUGGUGGUAACGGGUAACGGGGUGUUAGGGCACGACACCGGAGAGGGAGCCUGAGAAACGGCUACCACAUCCAAGGAUGGCAGCAGGCGCGCAAAUUACCCAAUCCCGACACGGGGAGGUAGUGACAAUAAAUAACAAUACGGGGUUCUUUAGGAUCUCGUAAUUGGAAUGAGUACAAUUUAAAUCCCUUAACGAGGAACAAUUGGAGGGCAAGUCUGGUGCCAGCAGCCGCGGUAAUUCCAGCUCCAAUAGCGUAUAUUAAAGUUGUUGCAGUUAAAAAGCUCGUAGUUGAAUUUCGGGAUUGACACAUCGGUCGUGCCUUAAGGGGUAUGAACUGGUGUAGUCAAUUUCUCACCUUCUGGAGAACCGCGAUGCCCUUAAUUGGGUGUCGCGGGGAACCAGGACCUUUACUUUGAAAAAAUUAGAGUGUUUAAAGCAGGCAUUUUGCUUGAAUACAUUAGCAUGGAAUAAUAAAAUAGGACGGCAUGAUUCUAUUUUGUUGGUUUCUAGGAUCACCGUAAUGAUUAAUAGGGAUAGUUGGGGGCAUUAGUAUUCAAUUGUCAGAGGUGAAAUUCUUGGAUUUAUUGAAGACUAACUACUGCGAAAGCAUUUGCCAAGGAUGUUUUCAUUAAUCAAGAACGAAAGUUAGGGGAUCGAAGACGAUCAGAUACCGUCGUAGUCUUAACCAUAAACUAUGCCGACUAGGAAUCAGACGAUGUUAAUUUUUUAAUGACUCGUUUGGCACCUUACGGGAAACCAAAGUGUUUGGGUUC
This 805-nucleotide ribosomal RNA is filed under the name uncultured Entrophosporaceae. RNAcentral's name for it is "SSU rRNA". It matches the Rfam family "Eukaryotic small subunit ribosomal RNA", at positions 314 to 1114 of the family's 1831-position model. The record is from RNAcentral. Lineage: Eukaryota; Fungi; Glomeromycota; Glomeromycetes; Entrophosporales; Entrophosporaceae.